AGUGAACGCUGGCGGCAGGCCUAGCACAUGCAAGUCGAACGGCAGCACAGGGGAGCUUGCUCCCUGGGUGGCGAGUGGCGGACGGGUGAGGAAUACAUCGGAAUCUGCCUACCUGUGGGGGAUAACCUCGGGAAACCGGGACUAAUACCGCAUACGACCUACGGGUGAAAGCCGGGGACCUUCGGGCCUGGCGCGGAUGGAUGAGCCGAUGUCGGAUUAGCUAGUUGGCGGGGUAAAGGCCCACCAAGGCGACGAUCCGUAGCUGGUCUGAGAGGAUGAUCAGCCACACUGGAACUGAGACACGGUCCAG
Molecule: ribosomal RNA, 310 nt
Filed under: uncultured Luteimonas sp.
Lineage: Bacteria; Pseudomonadati; Pseudomonadota; Gammaproteobacteria; Lysobacterales; Lysobacteraceae
Description: bacterial SSU rRNA
Rfam family: Bacterial small subunit ribosomal RNA
Source: RNAcentral